This 460-nucleotide ribosomal RNA is filed under the name uncultured bacterium. RNAcentral describes it as "partial 16S ribosomal RNA". It matches the Rfam family "Bacterial small subunit ribosomal RNA", at positions 338 to 795 of the family's 1533-position model. The record is from RNAcentral.
CCUACGGGUGACAGCAGUGAGGAAUAUUGGUCAAUGGACGAGAGUCUGAACCAGCCAAGUAGCGUGAAGGAUGACUGCUCUAUGGGUUGUAAACUUCUUUUAUAAAGGAAUAAAACGAGGCACGUGUGCCUUUUUGCAUGUACUUUAUGAAUAAGGAUCGGCUAACUCCGUGCCAGCAGCCGCGGUAAUACGGAGGAUCCGAGCGUUAUCCGGAUUUAUUGGGUUUAAAGGGAGCGUAGAUGGGUUGUUAAGUCAGUUGUGAAAGUUUGCGGCUCAACCGUAAAAUUGCAAUUGAUACUGGCAGUCUUGAGUACAGUUGAGGUAGGCGGAAUGCGUGGUGUAGCGGUGAAAUGCUUAGAUAUCACGAAGAACCCCGAUUGCGAAGGCAGCUUACUAAACUGUAACUGACAUUGAUGCUCGAAAGUGUGGGUAGCAAACAGGAUUAGAUACCCUAGUAGUC